Molecule: unclassified non-coding RNA, 382 nt
Filed under: fungal sp.
Lineage: Eukaryota; Fungi
Description: partial internal transcribed spacer region
Source: RNAcentral
AGUCGUAAAAAGAUUUCGUAGGUGAACCUGUGGAAGGAUCAUUAACACGUAUCCAAACGUUAAAACAACCCUGUGAACCUUCAGCGUGUUCUUGCAGGACAUCCAAACAGCAAUCCCGAGGAAAUCAGGCGCUAAAGAAUUACAGAUUGAUUUUGGGACGUUCUGUGUGUACGUGGACGCUGCAAUUGAGCGCUAGCUGAAUACCCUAGAGCACUCCCCUGUCUGAAAGCGGCAGGGAUCAAUGUUCAGGGUGCGCAGUCAUCGAUCGCUGUAGGGGUGGAGGCGAAAGCCCCUCCGUCAUCCCUAUGUACCCUCCGGGACUUGGCGAAAGCUGACUCCGUCAUAAAUCGAACAACUGUUAACAAUGGAUAUCUUGGUUCUC